GAUGAAGAACGCAGCGAAAUGCGAUAAGUAAUGCGAAUUGCAGAAUUUCCGUGAGUCAUCGAAUCUUUGAACGCACAUUGCGCCCACUGGUAUUCCGGUGGGCAUGCCUGUUCGAGCGUCAUUAUCCUCCCUCAAACCCCGGGUUUGGUGUUGGACCCAAGUUGUGUGAACAACUGGUCUCAAAGACAAUGACGGCGUCCGUGGGACCCUCGGUGCAACGAGCUUUUAGGAGCACGCAUCGAGUUGCAAGGACCUUCCGGGCCGGUCUCCUUUUACUAUUUUACAAGGUUGACCUCGGAUCAGGUAGGAAUACCCGCUGAACUUAAGCAUAUCAAUAAGCGGAGGA
Molecule: unclassified non-coding RNA, 346 nt
Filed under: soil metagenome
Description: partial contains 5.8S ribosomal RNA, internal transcribed spacer 2, and large subunit ribosomal RNA
Rfam family: 5.8S ribosomal RNA (bases 1-121)
Source: RNAcentral